RNAcentral lists this long non-coding RNA (283 nucleotides) under Lathyrus oleraceus (garden pea). Its description in RNAcentral is "Pisum sativum (pea) long non-coding RNA (PSAT_LNC002218)". The record is from RNAcentral. Lineage: Eukaryota; Viridiplantae; Streptophyta; Magnoliopsida; Fabales; Fabaceae.
GGGAUUUUAAUUGACUUGCUUCCACUUGUCCAAAUGGCUUGAAAUUUGGUGUGAUGAUCCUAUGACGAGUGCUGUUUAGCCAUGAUUUUUCCUGGGAUUUAUUGAAUUAUUUUGGAUUGAGUUUGGAUUGAUUCAUUCUGUUUGGUCCAAUGAGCUUUCAAAUUGCACACUUUGCUUUAGAUGCUUUGUGAAAUGAAAUUGAUUGAUGAUAUGAAUGUGAGACCAAUUGGAUAAUGUUUUAAUUUCAUUUAACUUGAUUUGUGCCAAUUUUCAUGUUCUUUUU